Long non-coding RNA from Urocitellus parryii (Arctic ground squirrel), 2493 nucleotides. RefSeq lists it as uncharacterized. Lineage: Eukaryota; Metazoa; Chordata; Mammalia; Rodentia; Sciuridae. The record is from RefSeq and is a predicted model, not a curated record.
CAGGGGUGAGUCACGGCCUCCUGCCCGGGCCUCCUGCAGCUUCCUGCUCCCUGCGCUGUGGUCCCCCAGCUGGCCUGCCCUACCUCGCCAGGGCCACCCCAGGACCUCUGGACCUUGGCCUGGUGGCCUUGCAGAGGUCUUAGGUGACCCAGCUGCCCCCUGGGACCGUGACUGUCGACCUGUGUUCGAGGCCCAGGGGGCACGGCCUCAUCCUGGACUUGCAACAUGGAGAAAAGUGGCAUUUUGACCCCGUGUGACGGCUGAGGAGCUGAGGCCCGGGGAGGGCUGGAGUUCUCCUGGCGGGGCAGGGGGCGAAUGGCCCGGAGCUGCCAGGCAGUAAUUAGCGCGGGCAGCUCUCUGAAGUCGGCGCUGGAGGCAGACGUGUGAUUAAACCACUUUACAGAAGUACCGGAACGUUCCCGGGAUGGCGGAGCAGCCUCCAGUCCUGGCCGCGGUCCCAGAGUUCUGGAAUGUUGGAAUCCAACGGCCUCCGGACGCUCUCCAGGAGGAAGGGGACACUAGGCUGCCCAGGGGAGCAGGACCGCCAACAGGCCCGCGUCCACCCCCCGUUUUCCAGCCAUAGCACCCCAGCUUCCUACCAGAGAACACUUCUCCCCCAUUUCAGGCCGCGAGGCCUGGGGGGUGCCUGAGAACCCCGGCUCCAAGAGUGCACAGGUGACCAGCUCUCCCCGCUGUGAUUGGCCCCCUGGGGAGGKCCUGGGGAGGUCCUGGGGCCACGCUCACCCGACGAAGCCCUGUCCUGGGACUUGAGUGCGGAGAGGUGGGGAAGGYGCGCAGUGGGUCCCCUGGAUGGAGAAUGAGCCAGCGAAGGGCCCAAGCCUGCCUGAGAGCCRGACAGGGGCAGAGCUCCUGGAUCCAGCCAGACCUGAAUCACACACCCUUGGACUCCGAUUACAGAAACUGCUACCUUUCCUGGUUUGGGCUGAAAACAGUUUGAAGUAGUUUUCUCUCCCUUAUUCCGAUGGAGCCAUGGGAGGAGACGAGAGGGGAAGAGAGUCCCAGCCGAGGGAAGGGGCAGCAGCGCCGGGAGGGACCCCGUGACGGGGGAGGGGCCAGGCGGGCGACCGGAGUGUCCCAGCCAGGGAYGCCGGGUGAGAGGUGGAGAGCGGCUGGCUAGCAGGAGGCUGACCACGUACCAGGCUGGGCUGGGCGUCGGGGACACAGCUGGACUGUCCCUCCCGACCGCCUGGAGCAGGCUCCUUCCCAGCUCGCCCCGCCCCAGCGCCCUGGGGUUCAGGAGCCCAGCGUUGGGCGGUGUCCACCCUGGGGCCACCUCACGGGUCACACGGUGGGGAUGAUUCCCUCUGCAAACCUUCCAGGAUCCCCCGGGACCCGGCUGUCCCCUCCUGAGGAAGAGCACCCCCUGCCCCUCUGUGGCCCAGCUCCAUCUCUGCUGAACCCCCAGAUGUGUGGGGUGUGACGCAGGGAAGAGAGGACCUCGGCCUGACGAGCCGCGGAGCAUGUCACCGCAGGCACUGGACAGGCAGAGUGUCACCACCCCGAGUCCUCUGUCCCCUCCACGCACCUCCCCUUGGAGGGCCCCCUCCCGGCUCCCUCGCCACACCUAGCCCCUCAGGCGUGUGGACUUGGUUCUGAUCCGGGUCUGUCCCUGUACCCGUGCUACUCCAGGUGCCGCCUGGGGACCCAGCGUGCUGCCUCCUUGGGUCUGGGUUCCCCUUCAGCAUGGCGUUGAAGACACACACAGGCAGGGCUGGGUGCAGCUCAGGGGCAGCGCUCACCCGGCUUGCACGGGGCUGGGGGGCGAGCGGGGAGAGGCGUGCAGUUGUGCCAGGCUGUAGAUGACCCUUUUUGAUGGGCACCUAAUAUUCCCUUGGGCCACAUGGUGAGCCAUUCACCACUUGAGGUUUAUUUGAACYGUUUCCAAACAGGUUUUUGUGUGGACACACAUUUUUGUUUACCCUGGGUAAAUUCCGAGGAGUGGCGCUACUGGGUCACRUGGCAGGUGUGUGAGUCGCUGUUGAGCUCUUCCCCAGCGUCUAGGUCACUCUGAGCUCCCACCAKCGGGGCAUCAGAGCUUCAGGACUCCCGUCCUCUCCAACCCUUGUGUUGUCAGGUGGCUUUUAAAGAUAUUUUUAGAAUUUUAGCCCUUGAAGUCGGUGCCCAUCUCACCACAGCUUUAUCUCGCGCAUCCCUAAUGGUCAACGAUCUGGCGCUUUGUGGAAUGUGACUAUUUGCCAYUGACACAUUUUCUUUGGUGUCGUAUCUGUUCCAACAUUUUGGCCUCCGUGAAAACGGGAUUGUUUACUUGUUAAUGGGUUCGGAGCGCUCUUUAUAUAUUCUGGAUACUGGUCAGCGCUUUGUCAAAUAUGUGAUCUGCAAAUACCUCCUCCCAGCCUGUGGCUGGGUUUCUCGUGUUUUGCUAAUAGGUAGACCUCAGUGACAUUGUUUUGUUUUGGUUGCGAUGAUUUCUCUGGUUAACGUUGGCUUGUGGCGUGUUCUUUGUUAUCUCAA